AAGUGGCGAAAUUGGUAGACGCACCAGAUUUAGGUUCUGGCGCCGCGAGGCGUAAGAGUUCAAGUCUCUUCUUCCGCACCA
This 81-nucleotide transfer RNA is filed under the name Vibrio cholerae. RNAcentral describes it as "tRNA-Leu". It matches the Rfam family "tRNA". From Rfam's summary of the family: Transfer RNA (tRNA) molecules are approximately 80 nucleotides in length. Their secondary structure includes four short double-helical elements and three loops (D, anti-codon, and T loops). RNAcentral also lists the same sequence under 1 other name. The record is from RNAcentral. Lineage: Bacteria; Pseudomonadati; Pseudomonadota; Gammaproteobacteria; Vibrionales; Vibrionaceae.